GACGAACGCUGGCGGCGUGCUUAACACAUGCAAGUCGAACGGAAAGGCUCCAGCUUGCUGGAGUACUCGAGUGGCGAACGGGUGAGUAACACGUGGGUAAUCUGCCCUGCACUCUGGGAUAAGCCUGGGAAACUGGGUCUAAUACUGGAUAUGACCUUUCUCCUUAUGGGGUUUGGUGGAAAGUUUUUCGGUGUAGGAUGAGCCCGCGGCCUAUCAGCUUGUUGGUGGGGUGAUGGCCUACCAAGGCGACGACGGGUAGCCGGCCUGAGAGGGUGAUCGGCCACAUUGGGACUGAGAUACGGCCCAGACUCCUACGGGAGGCAGCAGUGGGGAAUAUUGCACAAUGGGCGGAAGCCUGAUGCAGCGACGCCGCGUGAGGGAUGACGGCCUUCGGGUCGUAAACCUCUUUCAGCAGGGACGAAGCGUAAGUGACGGUACCUGCAGAAGAAGCACCGGCUAACUAUGUG
Molecule: ribosomal RNA, 467 nt
Filed under: uncultured bacterium
Lineage: Bacteria
Description: partial 16S ribosomal RNA
Rfam family: Bacterial small subunit ribosomal RNA
Source: RNAcentral